UACGUAGGGUGCAAGCGUUUGUCCGGAAUUAUUGGGCGUAAAGAGCGUGUAGGCGGCCAGGUAGGUCUGCUGUGAAAACUCGAGGCUCAACCUCGAGACGUCGGCGGAAACCAUCUGGCUAGAGUCCGGAAGAGGAGAGUGGAAUUCCUGGUGUAGCGGUGAAAUGCGCAGAUAUCAGGAAGAACACCCGUGGCGAAGGCGGAUCUCUGGGCCUUACCUGACGCUGAGGCGCGAAAGCUAGGGGAGCGAACAGG
Molecule: ribosomal RNA, 254 nt
Filed under: uncultured bacterium
Lineage: Bacteria
Description: partial 16S ribosomal RNA
Rfam family: Bacterial small subunit ribosomal RNA
Source: RNAcentral